This 1135-nucleotide ribosomal RNA is filed under the name Escherichia coli. RNAcentral's name for it is "partial 23S ribosomal RNA". It matches the Rfam family "Bacterial large subunit ribosomal RNA", at positions 1 to 1168 of the family's 2925-position model. The record is from RNAcentral. Lineage: Bacteria; Pseudomonadati; Pseudomonadota; Gammaproteobacteria; Enterobacterales; Enterobacteriaceae.
GGGUUGUGAGGUUAAGCGACUAAGCGUACACGGUGGAUGCCCUGGCAGUCAGAGGCGAUGAAGGACGUGCUAAUCUGCGAUAAGCGUCGGUGAGGUGAUAUGAACCGUUAUAACCGGCGAUUUCCGAAUGGGGAAACCCAGUGUGUUUCGACACACUAUCAUUAACUGAAUCCAUAGGUUAAUGAGGCGAACCGGGGGAACUGAAACAUCUAAGUACCCCGAGGAAAAGAAAUCAACCGAGAUUCCCCCAGUAGCGGCGAGCGAACGGGGAGGAGCCCAGAGCCUGAAUCAGUGUGUGUGUUAGUGGAAGCGUCUGGAAAGGCGUGCGAUACAGGGUGACAGCCCCGUACACAAAAAUGCACAUAUUGUGAGCUCGAUGAGUAGGGCGGGACACGUGGUAUCCUGUCUGAAUAUGGGGGGACCAUCCUCCAAGGCUAAAUACUCCUGACUGACCGAUAGUGAACCAGUACCGUGAGGGAAAGGCGAAAAGAACCCCGGCGAGGGGAGUGAAAAAGAACCUGAAACCGUGUACGUACAAGCAGUGGGAGCCUCUUAAUGGGGUGACUGCGUACCUUUUGUAUAAUGGGUCAGCGACUUAUAUUCUGUAGCAAGGUUAACCGAAUAGGGGAGCCGAAGGGAAACCGAGUCUUAACUGGGCGUUAAGUUGCAGGGUAUAGACCCGAAACCCGGUGAUCUAGCCAUGGGCAGGUUGAAGGUUGGGUAACACUAACUGGAGGACCGAACCGACUAAUGUUGAAAAAUUAGCGGAUGACUUGUGGCUGGGGGUGAAAGGCCAAUCAAACCGGGAGAUAGCUGGUUCUCCCCGAAAGCUAUUUAGGUAGCGCCUCGUGAAUUCAUCUCCGGGGGUAGAGCACUGUUUCGGCAAGGGGGUCAUCCCGACUUACCAACCCGAUGCAAACUGCGAAUACCGGAGAAUGUUAUCACGGGAGACACACGGCGGGUGCUAACGUCCGUCGUGAAGAGGGAAACAACCCAGACCGCCAGCUAAGGUCCCAAAGUCAUGGUUAAGUGGGAAACGAUGUGGGAAGGCCCAGACAGCCAGGAUGUUGGCUUAGAAGCAGCCAUCAUUUAAAGAAAGCGUAAUAGCUCACUGGUCGAGUCGGCCUGCGCGGAA